UGGCAAAUACUAGAACGAAGAAGCUAUUUUCAAUAUAUGAUCUAGCUAGCAACAAUGCACCCCUCAGGCCAUUAUAGUGGCCCUGCACACACAGGUCGCAGAAUGGUCAUGAAAGGAACAGCCCCUGCGCAUGACUUCAUAGGCGUACUUGAACAACGGGACCAAGCAGUUGACCUUGAUGUGCCUAUUCAGGAUGCCGCACGACGAGCUGAACGCGGAAGCUGACGUCUGCAUCUCAUCACUCGCCCCCAUGUUCAGCUUAGGCGCGGAGACGCCUGAAACAAUUGUGCGCAAGAUAAAAAAAUGGCUACAGGCUAUCGCGCCCAAGAAACAUGGCUUUGUGUUUUUGGACAUGGAACGCGACGACUAUGACACUUGAAGAAAGGGU
Long non-coding RNA from Rhipicephalus sanguineus (brown dog tick), 388 nucleotides. RefSeq lists it as uncharacterized. The record is from RefSeq and is a predicted model, not a curated record. NCBI's taxonomy places the organism in Eukaryota, Metazoa, Arthropoda, Arachnida, Ixodida, Ixodidae. The transcript has 4 exons.